AAAGCAGGUCCUGGAGGACUUGCAGUGGGCAAUAAUUGUCCCAGCCCCAUAAGGUUGUUGAGAGGAUCAAAUGCAUAGAAGGUUGAAACCCUGAUCCCUAAUGUGAUGAUAUCAGGAGGCAGGACCUUUGAGAGGUGACUUGGUCAUGAGGGUGGAGCCCCCAUGAACGGGCUUAGUGCCCCUAUAAUGAGGCCCCAGAGAGCUCUCUUGCCCCUUCUGCCACGUGAGGACACAGAGAGAAGACAGCUGCCCGUGAACCAGGAAGCAGGCUCUCACCAGACGCCGAAUCUGCCGAUGCCUUGAUCUUGGACUUCCAGCCUCCAGAGCGCUGCAUGCAGAUGACAAGGCCCAAGGGGAUGGCAGAGCCACAAGAUGGAAAGGGCCUGGGUUCUUAAAUGUCCGUGUGGAGGAGAGAUGCUUCUCUGGCCUGACCACCCAGCCAGGACUGGUACUCUGUAAGAAGCCGUCUUCUGUGGUGUUUAGAUCGAGUGGGUGCUACAAUGGAGCCCGCCCUGACUGCUAUUCCUGUAAUGCAAACCCGAGUGCAGGUAUUGGUGUGCCCACUGGAGGUGUCGGAGUGAAGGAGACAGACUGGGUGCAGGAUCUCAUCGAGUUCACGGCCAAAGUCAAUUAUUGCGUGGUCUGUGCUCUGAGAGGGGCCCUUCUUUGGGGCGUGACAGAGCACUUCCUGGAGGAAGCAGAGGUCUGAUGGAUGUUUUAUUAGUCACCUAGAGCUGCCUUAACAGACACCAGCAGCUGGGUGGCACACAACAACACAAGUUUAUUCUCUCACAGUUCCUGAGUCUAGAAGUCCCAAAUCCAGGCAUUGGCCGGGCCGUGCUCCUUCUGCAGGCUCUGGGGAGAGUCUGUUCCACGCCUCUCUCCUAGUUUCUGGUGUUGCUGGCAGUCCUUGGUAUUCCCUGGUGCUAAGGACCAAAUGUUUGUGUCCCCCCAAAUUCGUAUGUUGAAACCCUAAUCCCCAAUAUGAUGGUGUUUGGAAAUGGGGCCUUUGAGAGGCAAUUUGGUUUAGCUGAGGUCAUGAGGGUGAGGCCCUCAUGAAGGUAUUAGUGAGCUUAGAGACAAGACAGAGCUUGCAUCUCUCUUCACUCUCUGCCAUGUGAGGAUGCAAUGACGAGAUGGCCAUCUGCAAACUAGCAGGUGGGUCCUCACUAGACACCAGAUCUGCCAGCACCUUAUCUUGGACUUCCCAGCCUCCAGAACUGUGAGAAAGAAAUGUUUGUUGUUUAAGCCCCCCUGUCUAUGGUAUUUUGUUAUGGCAGUCUUAACUGACUAUAAGACACUGGGUUUGUAGACUCAUCACGCCAGUCUCUGCCUCUAUGAUCACACGGCAUUUCCCUCAUGUCGCUCUGUCUCUGUGUGUCUUCUCUUCUCAUAGGGCAGCAGUCAGAUUAGAUUGUGGGCCCACCCUACUCCAGUCUGAUCUCAUCUUGACUUGAUUACAUCUGCAAAGACCCUAUUUCCAGAUAAGGUCACAUGCACAGGUAGCAAGGGUUCGAAGCUGAACAGAUCUUUUUGGGGGAUACUAUUCAACCCACAAUAGAUAUGUGGAGUAAGCAGGGGAAAUUUGAGGAAGAGUAUUCCAGGCAGAGGGAACAGCAGAUGCAAAGGCACCUCCAGAGGCAGACGGGUGCAGGUGAGUUCCAGGAAAUAAAAGAAAUUCAUCCCAGCUAGAGCGGAGAGUGGGUAUAAGAUGUGGCUGAGGUGGCCCAUGCCGGGCUUCCCACGAGCUGUGUGGAAUGGGCAGUCUUGGCUAGUCUGCAAUUCGAGAUAAAUGCCCAGAUCUCAGCAGCUUCACACAGUACAGCUUUAUUUCUUGCUCGUGUCAAGUCCGGUAUAUGUGGCCACAUAUGUAGCUCUGUCAUGCAGAACACAUGGUCUCCAGGGGAAGACGUGUCUGGGGGAAGCCCCCAGUAUCAACCACCCAGGCCUGGAAGUGACCCUUCCACUCACAGGCCACACACAAGGGAGGUUGGCAGGGGGCACGAUUUCUGUGAGCCCCAACUCUCUCUCUUACCCUAUUCAGGGUUAGGACUUAAUCCUCAGGGCACUGGGAAGCCAGCCAGGGUUUUCAUGCACAAUGUGGAGUGUGACAAGAUCUGACUUGUGUUUUAGAAAGUUUCCUACAGCUGGAGGCAGAGUCAGCCCUGAAGCCAGAGAGCCCGAGCCCAUGGGGCUGUGGUGGGGGGAGUGGCCUGAGUGGAAAUUGGUCAUAGCAGUCACAACAUUUUUGCAGGUAACUCCUGCAACUUCCACCUUGCAGGCUCAGCCCCAAAGAAAGGAGAUGUGAGAAAGAUUAGUGUAAUUUAAAAAACUUUCAAAACGCAUUUUGUGUCUGUCCUCUCUAUUCUAGAUUGGCAAUUGUAUUUAUUCUUACACGUAGAUUGCUUGACAGCAUGAAUCUCCAAAGCCAGGGGACUGUGCUCUGUGGGCCGCUUAAGGGAUUUUCAGGCAUGACUGCGCUCCUUGCUGAUUGGAGAACCUCACUGUCAUGGAAGAUGCCCUCUACUCAGGGUCUGUAACUGGGACUCAAUAACAGGAGCGAGAUCCGUGUGUCAGAGGGACUUCUUGCUGCUUCCAGCCAGCCCGGUGCCCUGCCUCUGUCGGAAACGCCCUUGGAGGCAGUAUGAAAGCAUUCUGUGCUGAGAUGGACCCCCACUUGUCUGCAGUUCUUUACAGAAAUAUUAAGAAAUAUUUUCUAAGCCAUU
Molecule: long non-coding RNA, 2726 nt
Filed under: Equus asinus (donkey)
Lineage: Eukaryota; Metazoa; Chordata; Mammalia; Perissodactyla; Equidae
Description: lncRNA (ENSEASG00005027494.1)
Source: RNAcentral